AGAAUUGAUCUUGGUUCAGGAUGAACGCUAGCUACAGGCUUAACACAUGCAAGUCGAGGGGCAGCAUGAUCUAAGCUUGCUUAGAUUGAUGGCGACCGGCGCACGGGUGAGUAACGCGUAUCCAACCUUCCCUAUAGUAGAGGAUAGCCCGGCGAAAGUCGGAUUAAUACUCUAUGUUGUCCAAUGCGGACAUCUAAGUUGAACCAAAGGUUUACCGCUAUAGGAUGGGGAUGCGUCUGAUUAGGUUGUUGGCGGGGUAACGGCCCACCAAGCCUACGAUCAGUAGGGGUUCUGAGAGGAAGGUCCCCCACAUUGGAACUGAGACACGGUCCAAACUCCUACGGGAGGCAGCAGUGAGGAAUAUUGGUCAAUGGGCGAGAGCCUGAACCAGCCAAGUAGCGUGCAAGGAUGACGGCCCUAUGGGUUGUAAACUGCUUUUAUACAGGGAUAAAGUGCGCCACGUGUGGCGUUUUGUAGGUACUGUAUGAAUAAGGACCGGCUAAUUCCGUGCCAGCCGCAGC
This 521-nucleotide ribosomal RNA is filed under the name uncultured bacterium. Its description in RNAcentral is "bacterial SSU rRNA". It matches the Rfam family "Bacterial small subunit ribosomal RNA", at positions 8 to 518 of the family's 1533-position model. The record is from RNAcentral.